Molecule: transfer RNA, 77 nt
Filed under: Stenotrophomonas sp.
Lineage: Bacteria; Pseudomonadati; Pseudomonadota; Gammaproteobacteria; Lysobacterales; Lysobacteraceae
Also listed under: 15 other names
Description: tRNA-Arg
Rfam family: tRNA
About the family: Transfer RNA (tRNA) molecules are approximately 80 nucleotides in length.
Source: RNAcentral
GGCCCCGUAGCUCAGCUGGAUAGAGCGGUCCCCUCCUAAGGGACAGGUCGCCCGUUCGAAUCGGGCCGGGGUCACCA